UUGAUAAUGUUACCAGUCGUGCAGAAAAACGAAUUUUUAACAACUUGCAAAGUACCCCGGCAGUUUUGGAGUUUUUAAAUAAAUAUUUUGUUGAUUCUUAGAUGUUUUUUCCGUAAAUUUGGUAAAAAUGGGAAAGAAUAUAAAAACCACGGAAGACAGCAACGAAAAAGAUUUUGAAAAACGAAAACGUAAGAAAAGAAAGAAGAAACUUAAUGAUGAACCGGGUGAUAAGACGAGAAAAUUGCGACCCAAUUAUUUUAUUGGAGUCCGAAUUAAUAACCCACAAAUAUUAGGUAAAAUCCGUGCGAUACAGAAUAUUGUUGUUGGACGAGAAACACAACUUUCGAAAACAAUUGUUCCUUUUUCUACUUCGCACGUAACACUCAGUGUAUUUCAUUUAAAGGAGAAAGAUGAUUUAAAAAGAGCUUGCACAGUGUUUCACAACAGUGUUGAUCAAAUAAGAAACAUAUUAAAUAACGAACCACCUCAGUUUACAGUGGCUGGUGUUGGAAACUUUAGACACCAAGUUAUGUUCGCACAAAUUAGAGAUAACAAUGGAUUGGAGUUGCUAACUAAAACAGCUGAAUAUUUGGACAACCAAAUGUCUGAGUUUCGAAAUUCUGAAGAUAAAGCAUUCAAGCCUCAUCUAACAAUAAUGAAGUUGUCAAAAAUGUUUGGUGCAAAAAGAUUUAAGAUCAAAAAGAUCUCUCCUUCACUUUAUGAAGAUUUUGUUGAAACCAACUUUGGAGAUGAAAUUAUAAACAGGAUUGAAUUAUUAUCAAUGUUGAAACCUAAGCAAAGAGAUGGGUAUUAUCAUAGUGAAGCAGAGAUAUGUAUUGGUAGAUGAAUCUAUUGGAAAACAAUCACCAUUGUUAGUUCAUCAAUGGGCAUCGUGUUUAUCUGUGUCUUGCAUCACAAUGGCCAUUCACCACAUCAACAAUCCAAAACUGAAACAUUACGGUGAUGUCAUAGCUAAUGACGUCAUAACAUCUGCGUUUCAAGAUUUGUAUCCUACUACAUGAAGAAAUGGCUUGUUUCGUAUAGAUUGCGUCAGUGGUGAUUAGAUCGAUAGAGAAGUUGCAUUUGUUCAUGAGGUUCAUCAGAACAAGGAUUUUGUUCACGGUAGUUUCAGUGGUGGCGGCUCGAAAGUAUUUUCUCAAGCAUUUUAAAAAAUGUAGUAUUUUCUCAAACAAUUUUAAAUCUUACUUUAUCCUCGCGUGGCCAAAAAAACAGUUGUUAAACACUGGUGUUCUGUAUCAUACACCUCGUGCCAGUUUCAAGUUACACUGUCAUUUUAGUUCUAAUUUUUUAAUACCGGAGCUUUUGGGAAUUGUAGACAUAAAAAAGCUAUUAAAUUCACCAUAGGCGCCAAACCUGGGGUGGCUUAUUAUUAUUUGUUGCACUGCAUAAAUCAGUGAGAAUUACAACCAACUAUUAGAUUUGUUUCACAUGGUUGUGGUCCUAACUGUCUUUGCCCCCCCUAUUUUCUCGUCCAAUUUAGUAGUAUAAACAAAGAAAGUUCAAAGAAAUGUGAAACUAUGUCCUCAUGACUCUCAUAGACCGUUGUUAAUUGUUUAAAACACGAUCAGAAUAUCUGGAUAUUAUGCGCUAAAGGUGUUCCAUCUUCCCCCACCCUUCUAUAUUAUAUUUAAAACGAAAACAAACGUAUAAUAGGUUGGGGUAAGAUUGAACAUGCUUUCCUUCCGAAUUCCAAAAUCGUAGCGCCGCGAUUCCAAAACAGCGUAUUGUUUAAAACUGGAUUAGGCAACAUGGGAUACAAACGUUAACGGUAUCUCAGCAGAACUAUACAAAAGGGUAUGUUAUAUUUACCAAUUCCUAUCUAUAAGUUUUAACAAAGUAUUCAAUUUUACAUUGUCGUUUCUUUCGUCAAACAAAAAACGUCAGAAUAUAAGUCGUAAAAUGUCCCGA
This is a non-coding RNA of Ciona intestinalis (vase tunicate), 1929 nucleotides long. The record is from RefSeq and is a predicted model, not a curated record. NCBI's taxonomy places the organism in Eukaryota, Metazoa, Chordata, Ascidiacea, Phlebobranchia, Cionidae.